Molecule: small nuclear RNA, 23 nt
Filed under: Arabidopsis thaliana (thale cress)
Lineage: Eukaryota; Viridiplantae; Streptophyta; Magnoliopsida; Brassicales; Brassicaceae
Description: snRNA_00344
Source: RNAcentral
AAGCCUAAAUAGUGUUUCCUUGU